CCCCGAAACUAAGCGAGCUACUCCAGAGCAACUGACAGAACCAACCCGCCCCUGUUGCAAAAGGGUGGGAAGACUUUAGAGUAGAAGUGACACACCUAUCGAGCUUAGAGAUAGCUGGUUAUUCAAGAAAAGGAUUUUAGUCCAUCUUUAAGUUUUUUAAGUACCAUUAAACACCCAACAAACUUAAAAGUUAUUCAAAUAAGGGACAGCCUAUUUGAAAAAGGACACAACCUACAAUCUAGGGUAACGAUCCCCCCCGUGGCCAAGUCAGCCUAAAAGCAGCUAACUUCCAGAAAGCGUCCAAGCUUCACCACAAACCCUUACUAAUUCCACAAUUAAUCCAUAACCCACAACCACUACCGAAUAAUCUCAUACUAUAUGAGAAAUAUUAUGCUAGAACUAGUAACAAGAAGAAGAACUUCUCCAAAAUGUAAGCGUAAGCCAUAAUGAACACCCACCGGCAUUUACCGCCACAAACGAAGUAUUAACAUUACAAGAAAAUCAUACUUCAACUGACGUUAACCUUACACUAGAACAUUUCCAGAAAGAU
Molecule: ribosomal RNA, 550 nt
Filed under: Platypelis tuberifera (Ambatoharanana giant treefrog)
Lineage: Eukaryota; Metazoa; Chordata; Amphibia; Anura; Microhylidae
Description: partial 16S ribosomal RNA
Rfam family: Bacterial large subunit ribosomal RNA (bases 2-118)
Source: RNAcentral